GGAUGCAAGAGCGACCUGGCUGUGACAUCUGUCAGCCCCAUUGAUCACCACUGUUGACUUGGCCUAUCUGACUGGCUAAGCAAGUGUCCCAUUCUUCCCUCAACAUUCCAUGUGCUUUCCUUUCAAAGCUGUGUGCUCAGAGGAUGAUCUUCCCUGAUAGAGGAGGACUAUUCUUUGGUCAAGGGUAUAUGAAUAGCUGUGCUCCCCUACUAAAAUCUCCAAACAAGCUCUCAAGGUCCAUUUGUAGGAGAAGUAGGUGAGUCAAGCUUCCAAGGUUCCAGACAUCCAAAUGAGGCACUGUAUUUGUAUGUGGCAGUUUGCCUGAAAAA
Molecule: non-coding RNA, 329 nt
Organism: Felis catus (domestic cat)
Lineage: Eukaryota; Metazoa; Chordata; Mammalia; Carnivora; Felidae
Rfam family: 7SK RNA
About the family: 7SK was discovered as an abundant small nuclear RNA in the mid-70s but a possible function has only recently been suggested. Two independent studies have found that 7SK RNA binds the CDK9/cyclin T complex (known as elongation factor P-TEFb). P-TEFb activates transcription by phosphorylating the C-terminal domain of RNA polymerase II.
Source: Rfam